CACUCUCAUACAGAUGCACACACACUCUCAUACAGAUGCACACAAACACUCAUACAGAUGCACACAAACACUCAUACAUACAGAUGCACACACACUCUCAUACAGAUGUGCACACACACUCUCAUACAGAUACACAAAAACUCUCAUACAGAUGCGCACACACACUCUCAUACAGAUGCACACACACACUCUCAUACAGAUACAAAACACAGAUACACUGAUUCUCUCAACUCCCAUACAUCUCAAUAUGUCACUUUAUAUAAAAAAAACACAAGUACUGUGGGAAAACAUACACAUAUAGCCAACCUCAUAUUUUUAGACAGAAGCAUUGGAGUUGUCUUAAAGGAUUACUAUAAUACAAGCAGCUGCUGACUCAGUAAAGAAAAUAUCUAUUUUUAAAUAGGAAUCCCCAACCCCCUACCCUCAGAAACCCUUUUUCCAUGUGACUUUCCUUCAGUAAACAUGCUCUGCACAGCAGCCAUAUCUACCAGCAGGAAGACAGAUACAACACAGCCCUGAGAAGGAAUGGGGGAAAUGAGAGCAGGGAGGAGGGGAGACUAUAAAGAGCAGACCAGGAGGAUCGUUUGGAAUUUGAUAAAGCCUAAGGGAAAUCCUUGCAGGGCAGCAGAGGGAACUUUACAACAACUUUGUAUCACAGUCAUCUGGAUUUCAGCCAAGCAAGAGCAAUAAACAGUAACUCAGAAGCUGGACAUGCAAAUGAAAAUAAAUGAACUGCUGAGCAAACCGCAAGUAUUAAAGUACAUGUACUAAAGAAGCUGACACUCCUCCUAGCUCCUAACCGGAACUUCCACAGAACAGACUGAGCAUUCUAUCAGCUUUGCCACGCUACAAGUGCAUGAGAAGAAAAGUUAUCCCACAGAAAGGAUCAAGGUUUUCAGUACAAUAUCAUUCCUGAGGGGUAAGUCAAGAACCUGGGCAGAAAAUUUGUGCGAACAUAACGACCCAGUAUUAGGAUCCCUCUCUGACUUCUUUACAUGUAUGGAUGACCUUUUUCACAACACUGAUGUACAAUUGUCUGCUGAAGCCUCGAUGAGGAAUCUCAAGCAAGCAAAGAGACCCGUGGAGGAGUACAUUACGGAAUUCAAAUUAUACGCAGCCAAUUCGGAAUGGAGUCAGAUUGCACUCCGAAACCAACCCAAACAAGCAAACAAACAGUUGUUCCCAUGGAGAUCGGAAUAGCCCGAGGUUCCUUAACAUCUGAAGAAAGAUACUGCAGGAAGAAUAAUAACCUGUGUAUGUAUUGCGCAAGUCCUUUGCACUCAGUCCAGGAGUGUCCCAUUCUGCAGAAAAGCAAAAAAUUGGGGCCAAGAUCAGCUGACAACUGAUGCCAUCAUAGACUCAGGAGCUUAUGGCUGCUUUAUUGAUAAUAAUGUUGUAAAGCAUAAUAAAAUACCCCUUAUUCAAAAACAAA
This is a long non-coding RNA of Bombina bombina (fire-bellied toad), 1432 nucleotides long. RefSeq lists it as uncharacterized. The record is from RefSeq and is a predicted model, not a curated record. Lineage: Eukaryota; Metazoa; Chordata; Amphibia; Anura; Bombinatoridae. The transcript is spliced from 6 exons.